GGUCUUGUUGGAAAUACACUAUCAUGCUCAAUUUGGCAGCACAUAUACUAAAAUUGGAAUGAUACAAAGAAGAUUAGCAUGGCGCUUGUAAAAGGAUAACACAAAAAUUUGUGAAGUGUUCCAUAUUUUUC
RNAcentral lists this small nuclear RNA (131 nucleotides) under Pongo abelii (Sumatran orangutan). Lineage: Eukaryota; Metazoa; Chordata; Mammalia; Primates; Hominidae. The record is from RNAcentral.